This 76-nucleotide transfer RNA is filed under the name bacterium. RNAcentral's name for it is "tRNA-Ala". It matches the Rfam family "tRNA". From Rfam's summary of the family: Transfer RNA (tRNA) molecules are approximately 80 nucleotides in length. Their secondary structure includes four short double-helical elements and three loops (D, anti-codon, and T loops). Further hydrogen bonds mediate the characteristic L-shaped molecular structure. tRNAs have two regions of fundamental functional importance: the anti-codon, which is responsible for specific mRNA codon recognition, and the 3' end, to which the tRNAs corresponding amino acid is attached (by aminoacyl-tRNA synthetases). tRNAs cope with the degeneracy of the genetic code in two manners: having more than one tRNA (with a specific anti-codon) for a particular amino acid; and 'wobble' base-pairing, i.e. permitting non-standard base-pairing at the 3rd anti-codon position. The record is from RNAcentral. RNAcentral also lists the same sequence under 5 other names.
GGGGCCAUAGCUCAGCUGGGAGAGCGCUUGAAUGGCAUUCAAGAGGUCGGGAGUUCGAUCCUCCCUGGCUCCACCA